Molecule: long non-coding RNA, 728 nt
Organism: Clupea harengus (Atlantic herring)
Lineage: Eukaryota; Metazoa; Chordata; Actinopteri; Clupeiformes; Clupeidae
Source: Ensembl
AAGGAGCUGGCGGUUUUCUUUUGCAUCGUUUAUAAUGGUGCUCAAACAUUUAAAGCCAUUUUUUGAGGGAUGUUUUCAUAGGCAACUCAUUUUGGUAUCAUCUCCAAAUUCAUUUUGAUGACAGAGAGUACCAUAAUGGCUGUGGUUAACAGAUGUCUGAAGGUCCUCUUCAUUGGAAUAAACAUCAUACACAUAAUUUUAGCUGGUGUGAUUUUUACACUAGCUAUUAUGCUGGGCACUUACAUAACAAAUCAGUUUCAGGGCCAGGGACAAGAUGCGGGGCUUGGACUGAUACAAGCACCAAUCUGGCUACUGGGUUCAGGUGUCUUGGUGGUGGCCAGCCUUGGUAUCCAUGGUGCCAGAAAAGAGAAGAAGUGGCCCCUGAUCUCGUUUAUUACAGCAAAUGCGAUUUGUCUGACCAUAAUGCUAAUGCAGGGGGCACAGUUUGCCAAAACAAAAAUACUGUGGAGCCAGUUGAGCCAGUUGAGGCCCAACGGCCCAAAUUAUGCUUGGAGUCUCGAUGCUGGAUUGGCUGUCAGCUUUAGCCUUGCUGCCUUAUGGUUCACUGGGAUUAUCCUGGCAGCCAUGAUCAUGCAUCAGCUCCACAGCCGGCAGCCUGCCAUGUCAGAUGUUGAGGGUAAACCCCCAGGAUACUCUCAGAUGUUGAGGGUGAACCCCCAGGAUACUCUCAGAUGUUGAGGGUGAACCCCCAGGAUACUCUCAGAUGU